Esox lucius (northern pike) is the source of this 1343-nucleotide long non-coding RNA. RefSeq annotates it as up-regulator of cell proliferation. The record is from RefSeq and is a predicted model, not a curated record. NCBI's taxonomy places the organism in Eukaryota, Metazoa, Chordata, Actinopteri, Esociformes, Esocidae. The transcript has 3 exons.
GUAUAAACAUAAUUUCGACGGUUGUCAUAAAAGACACAAUUAAAUAUUUUUUGCUACUAAAAUCAGUGAAACAUGACAACAAAGUGAAGGGCAAACAUCUCCUCAAGCAAGUAAAUUGCAGCAAUGGAGACUAGAGUGUCUAGGCAUUCACUAGAAGUGGGGUGAGUUUCUGGCAGGGGGGCAGUUUUUGGCACAACACCAGAUCUCUCUAUCUCUCUCUCUCACAGCCUAACCUGGACCUCCAGAUUUACAAAUUAAGCACUGACAACAGCCUUUUCCAAGUGACAUUUACAGUUGUAUAAUCACCAAGUCACUAUACACCAAAUAAAUGUUUGUGGAUCAUUUUGAUUCAUCUGUAUGUUUUAUGGGUGUUAUGACAAAAUACUGUGGUACUCAAUUGCAGAGACAGGCGGUGAGAAGGGUGUGGUUUUGGAUCGGAAGGGCACCGGGGACGCUGAAGACACCCUUCAAAUGGACAACUCCGCAGAUGAAGAGGACUUUCAUGAUGCCAAUGAUCAAUUCCUUGACUUUGGAGAAGUUGGGAACUCUCAAACAGCAUUAGUGGAUGGUCUGGUGUCCAAGUCAACGCAAUCAAAAGAUGCUGCUCCAGAAGAAAACAAUCUACAGAAUUUACUGCUGGACCUGGGAUUGGAGCAAUACUUUACAGAGAAGUUAGACUUGAGCACCGUGCUGCAGAUUGAUGAAAAGACUGUCACAGAUGAGCCUGAUCAAUGUCUUUCUGCUCUGCCAUGGACUUUCCUAAAGAGGUUAAUGAUGGUUAAUGUAACAGCUAGGAGUGUGAAAUGUACCUCGAGUGAGGCAAGUUGCGAUUCUUUAUUUUGCAACACAGACCUAGAUAUUGAUGGUCUGGUUGACAGUCAGGACACUAGUAAGUUUCUGAACCCUUUAGACAUUGUUACUGCUCUUUUUCUGUGCUCUAACAGUUUUCUACAGCAAGAAAUGGUCUUGAAAAUGUCAAUGUGUCAGUUUUCCGUGCCUCUGCUUCUUCCCAAUUGUGACACAAAAAAGUGCAUGCUCAUGCUUUGGGCCAUGCGAGACAUUGUUAAGAAGUUCCGACCGCAUUCAUUGGCAGAUCCAAGAGGAUUUGUUGAAGACAGGAUCGUUCUCUCUGAGCUCCCUAUGGUCUCUUUCGUCAGAUUAGGUGAAUGCUCUCUGUCCAAGUCAGAGGUUCUGAACAAACUCUUGAGCAAUCCCCAACAAUAUCAUGAUACCUUUGUCCACCAUAACAUGGAAUGCGGUGAUAGCCAAAGAAGGAUUUCAAAUGGAUUGGUUGAAAUAAGCUGGUACCUUCCAAGUGGGAAAAAAAAACAUUGAUAUUUUUG